UCGUGACCUGACCAAAACAGACCGUGAACCCGUCAUGUUGCCUGCCAGCGGCGGCCCUGCCGUCGCUUGGCCAAAGUCCUCGAUAACCUCCUCUCCUCGGAGCGGGGGCUCGGGGCAAAAGAACCCACGGCGCCGAAGGCGUCAAGGAACACUGUGCCUAACCCGGGGAAGCGGCUGGCUUGCUAGCUGCCCCUCGUGUUGCAAUGCUAUUUAWCCCACACGACUCUCGGCAACGGAUAUCUCGGCUCUCGCAUCGAUGAAGAACGUAGCGAAAUGCGAUACCUGGUGUGAAUUGCAGAAUCCCGCGAACCAUCGAGUCUUUGAACGCAAGUUGCGCCCGAGGCCACUUGGCCGAGGGCACGCCUGCCUGGGCGUCACGCAAAACACGCUCCCACCCCUCAUCGGGUGGUGGGAUGCGGCAUGUGGCUCCCCGUCUCGCAAGGGGCGGUGGGCCGAAGAUGUGGCUGCCGGCGUAUCGUGCCGGACACAGCGCGUGGUGGGCGAACUCGCUUUACUUACCGCAGUGCAUCCGGCCCAUAGCCGACGUGAUGGCCUUAAGGACCCUAUGAACGGAGCGCAUGACGCUUCGACC
RNAcentral lists this unclassified non-coding RNA (592 nucleotides) under Poa billardierei. RNAcentral's name for it is "sequence contains ITS1, 5.8S rRNA gene and ITS2". The stretch from base 222 to 377 matches the Rfam family "5.8S ribosomal RNA". Lineage: Eukaryota; Viridiplantae; Streptophyta; Magnoliopsida; Poales; Poaceae. The record is from RNAcentral.